CGGCCGUAGCAAUACGGCAGCGGCAGACGGGAGAGUAACACGUGGGAACGUGCCCUAUGGUUCGGAAUAACGCAGGGAAACUUGCGCUAAUACCGAAUAAGCCCUUACGGGGAAAGAUUUAUCGCCAUUGGAGCGGCCCGCGUCCGAUUAGCUAGUUGGUGAGGUAACGGCUCACCAAGGCGACGAUCGGUAGCUGGUCUGAGAGGAUGACCAGCCUCACUGGGACUGAGACACGGCCCAGACUCCUACGGGAGGCAGCAGUGGGGAAUAUUGGACAAUGGGCGCAAGCCUGAUCCAGCCAUGCCGCGUGGGUGAUGAAGGCCCUAGGGUUGUAAAGCCCUUUCAGCGGGGAAGAUAAUGACGGUACCCGCAGAAGAAGCCCCGGCUAACUUCGUGCCAGCAGCCGCGGUAAUACGAAGGGGGCUAGCGUUGCUCGGAAUUACUGGGCGUAAAGCGCACGUAGGCGGCUUUCUAAGUCGGGGGUGAAAUCCUGGNAGCUCAACUCCAGAACUGCCUUCGAUACUGGAGAGCUCGAGUCCGGGAGAGGUGAGUGGAACUGCGAGUGUAGAGGUGAAAUUCGUAGAUAUUCGCAAGAACACCAGUGGCGAAGGCGGCUCACUGGCCCGGUACUGACGCUGAGGUGCGAAAGCGUGGGGAGC
RNAcentral lists this ribosomal RNA (659 nucleotides) under uncultured bacterium. Its description in RNAcentral is "bacterial SSU rRNA". It matches the Rfam family "Bacterial small subunit ribosomal RNA", at positions 67 to 769 of the family's 1533-position model. The record is from RNAcentral.